This 442-nucleotide ribosomal RNA is filed under the name uncultured bacterium. RNAcentral's name for it is "SSU rRNA". It matches the Rfam family "Bacterial small subunit ribosomal RNA", at positions 26 to 518 of the family's 1533-position model. The record is from RNAcentral.
AGAGCGAACGCUGGCGGCAGGCCUAAUACAUGCAAGUCGAACGCACCCUCGGGUGAGUGGCGGACGGGUGAGUAACACGUGGGAACGUGCCUUUUGGUUCGGAAUAAUCCGGGGAAACCUGGCCUAAUACCGGAUGUGCCCUUCGGGGGAAAGAUUUAUCGCCAUUAGAGCGGCCCGCGUCUGAUUAGCUAGUUGGUGGGGUAAAGGCCCACCAAGGCUACGAUCAGUAGCUGGUCUGAGAGGAUGAUCAGCCACACUGGGACUGAGACACGGCCCAGACUCCUACGGGAGGCAGCAGUAGGGAAUCUUGCGCAAUGGGGGAAACCCUGACGCAGCCAUGCCGCGUGAAUGAUGAAGGUCUUAGGAUUGUAAAAUUCUUUCAGCGGGAAGAUAAUGACUGUACCCGCAGAAGAGCUCCGGCUAACUUCGCGCCAGCAGCCGC